UAUAUAGCAGUGUUAGGGCACGAAGAAUUUUGAUUUCUUAAGAGGGGCUCAUUAUCCCCCUAA
RNAcentral lists this transfer RNA (63 nucleotides) under Eubela sp. MNHN IM 2013-9671. RNAcentral's name for it is "tRNA-Gln". Lineage: Eukaryota; Metazoa; Mollusca; Gastropoda; Neogastropoda; Raphitomidae. The record is from RNAcentral.